RNAcentral lists this ribosomal RNA (325 nucleotides) under Cercomonas sp. Its description in RNAcentral is "SSU rRNA". The stretch from base 107 to 325 matches the Rfam family "Eukaryotic small subunit ribosomal RNA", at positions 735 to 955 of the family's 1831-position model. Lineage: Eukaryota; Cercozoa; Cercomonadida; Cercomonadidae. The record is from RNAcentral.
GAUUUCUGGUUCGGCGCACUUGGCCCGCCUCGGUUUACGGGGUUGUGUGCCGGUGUGCGCCAUCCAUCCUUCGAGUGAAUAAUUCUUCCCUUCAUUGGUGUAGGAAUUACCUAACUCGAUCUUUUACUUUGAAAAAAUUAGAGUGUUUAAAGCAGGCUUGCGCUAUGAAUACAUUAGCAUGGAAUAAUAAUUUAGGACUUUGGUCUUAUUUUGUUGGUUUCUAGGACUAAAGUAAUGAUUGAUAGGGACAGUUGGGGGUGCUAGUAUUCAGCGGCCAGAGGUGAAAUUCUUGGAUUCGCUGAAGACUAACUUAUGCGAAAGCAUU